CUCCCUUUCAAUUUUUAUAAAUUUCAGAUUUUAAGUUUUGGAUUUAUGGGGCUUUAUUCAUAAAAAAAGGGUGAUUUUUAACACUUAGGACAAUAACCCAAAAAGGCUUUGACCAAUGUCCAUGAAACUUUGGUGAAUUGUUUAUAUCUAUUGAUGUAAGCUCCCUUUCAAUUUUUAUAAAUUUCAGAUUUUAAGUUUUGGAUUUACGG
RNAcentral lists this long non-coding RNA (209 nucleotides) under Mytilus galloprovincialis (Mediterranean mussel). The record is from RNAcentral. Lineage: Eukaryota; Metazoa; Mollusca; Bivalvia; Mytilida; Mytilidae.